RNAcentral lists this transfer RNA (37 nucleotides) under Coix lacryma-jobi (Job's tears). RNAcentral describes it as "tRNA-Lys". The record is from RNAcentral. Lineage: Eukaryota; Viridiplantae; Streptophyta; Magnoliopsida; Poales; Poaceae.
UUUUAUCUGGGUUGCUAACUCAAUGGUAGAGUACUCG